Molecule: unclassified non-coding RNA, 219 nt
Filed under: Hevea brasiliensis (rubber tree)
Lineage: Eukaryota; Viridiplantae; Streptophyta; Magnoliopsida; Malpighiales; Euphorbiaceae
Source: RNAcentral
GAGCAGGCAAAGCUGAUGUUGGCUGCAUAUAAAACUGAGUAGGAUUAGGCUUUGUGAAGGUAUAAAUUAUGGCUUUCUUGGUUGGGUUUAUGUCAUAGUAGCUAGGUUUUGCUAGGUUAUUAUUUAUUUCUGGGUUUGUGAUUUGGUGACUAUGAAACUUUAAUAUGAGCUGAUUCUAUAUCUUCAGCAAUCUCUUGCUGGAGAGUAUUUUCUAUUGCA